Non-coding RNA from Vicia faba (fava bean), 219 nucleotides. The record is from the annotation of a GenBank genome assembly. Lineage: Eukaryota; Viridiplantae; Streptophyta; Magnoliopsida; Fabales; Fabaceae.
AUGGUGGAUACCGUGAAAAAUCGCUUUGGACGAAGAAGGAACAGGAGCGAAAGGGUUUGGGAGGUUGGAAGAGAGGAGGAAACACAAGAGCCACGUACAGAUCAGAAUAUAAAAUUGGAACAACAGCACACUGAAAACGACCUGAUUCCGUUCAAACCACCUCCACCGCAAACAGCUCGCGAACAGCUUCAUCCUACAAUCGCGAAGAACACCCUCUGA